Molecule: ribosomal RNA, 430 nt
Filed under: Pseudomonadota bacterium
Lineage: Bacteria; Pseudomonadati; Pseudomonadota
Description: Proteobacteria bacterium partial 16S ribosomal RNA
Rfam family: Bacterial small subunit ribosomal RNA
Source: RNAcentral
UGGGGAAUAUUGGACAAUGGGCGAAAGCCUGAUCCAGCCAUGCCGCGUGUGUGAAGAAGGCCUUUUGGUUGUAAAGCACUUUAAGCGAGGAGGAGGCUACUAGUACUAAUACUACUGGAUAGUGGACGUUACUCGCAGAAUAAGCACCGGCUAACUCUGUGCCAGCAGCCGCGGUAAUACAGAGGGUGCGAGCGUUAAUCGGAAUUACUGGGCGUAAAGCGCGCGUAGGUGGUUCGUUAAGUUGAAUGUGAAAGCCCCGGGCUCAACCUGGGACGUGCAUCCAAAACUGGCGAGCUAGAGUAGGGCAGAGGGUGGUGGAAUUUCCUGUGUAGCGGUGAAAUGCGUAGAUAUAGGAAGGAACACCAGUGGCGAAGGCGACCACCUGGGCUCAUACUGACACUGAGGUGCGAAAGCGUGGGGAGCAAACAGG